Long non-coding RNA from Brassica napus (rape), 2759 nucleotides. RefSeq lists it as uncharacterized. The transcript has 2 exons. The record is from RefSeq and is a predicted model, not a curated record. NCBI's taxonomy places the organism in Eukaryota, Viridiplantae, Streptophyta, Magnoliopsida, Brassicales, Brassicaceae.
CCUACAAAAACAAAAUACAUAUCUGAGACUUAAUACAAAAAUAGAAAUAGAAUAUACUCACAAUUUCAAACAACAGUUAACUGAGCUACCUAGCAAACCGAGACAGAGACAUAACACUUUCACGUAACAUCAAACUAAGCUAAACAGCAAACAUCACAAGGAAUAAAAUUAUAUCAGUGACAAAACAAGUAACUAAAGAGGAUAAAUGGAGAAGAAGGCGACCAUGCAUGCAGCGAAGACGAAGUGACGGUGGUGGAUCUUAGAAGAAUAGAAGCUCUGGCAGUGGAUCUAAGAAGAAUAGAAACUCCGGUGGUGAAUCGAAGCAAAGGAGCUCCAGAAGAAGAAGAUAACCCACCUGAAAUAAUGAGUUCGAGUGUUAGACCUGAGAAAAUAUAAAUCAACAACAAACCAUGUUUGAUCUUUCUUCGCAUGUGACAUGCAUGCAGUCACCGUCGCUGAAGAACCCAUCGCCGGAGCUGGAUCUUCAUCUUCGGUGGAAAGUGAGUUCGAAUACUUCUCUCGAUGGCUUAAAGAAGCUCCACUCUUGGAUAUACAAGACACAUGGGAGUUCGGAAGUACCAUCAACCUUCAAAUAUCCGUCAUCGGAGCUCCAUUUGUCGUCGGCGAACAUCUUAGGCCGAAUCGCCUCCUUUCCCUCUCUCUCUCUCUCUCUCUCUCUCUCUCUCUGUGUGUGUUUUGCGGGUCUUCAAUAUCCCGCAGGUUAACCUGUGGUCCAUCCCGCUUUCGGUCCGAUCGCGCACAGUACUAUCUCACGAGACCCACAAGUUUACGAGCUUACUAAAUAAAGACCCAAUCUCCCCUAACAACAAGCCUUAAAAGUCAGGCCUACGGUCCAGGUCCUUGGUUGACAUUUCUAUAUGCCACCAAAACCGUUGAUUAAGACAUCUAGUCAAAUGAGACUUUUUUUAGUUUUAUAUUUGCAUUAGUGUUCAUAAUAAAUAAAGUUGAUGAAAUUUUCUAUGGUUAAAAUAAUAUACGUUAGUCAUUUUCGGUUAUAAUACUUUCAGGACAUCAUGUAUGAAUUUGUAAACUUAAAAAAAAAGGAUACAUUCAGACGCAACUGGUGAUAAUUUGUUUAUAACUAAAGAUUUUUCGACAAUCAAAUACGACAACAAAUAGAAAAUUUAUCGAAAUCCUUAAAUUGUUAUCAAACAUGCAUAAAAUUGUUAUCACAUAAUAUUAUUGACUAGUAUUAACUGCCGCAGCUUAAAAGUUUCUUAAAUUGAGAUUGCUAAAAAUUAUUUACGAUCUAACAUGCUGCAAGAAAUAUUAUUGCGUUGGAUUUGUUAUCAAUUGAUACAACCAUGGUUCAAUAUUUAACUACACAAGUUCAUUGAAUAAUUAUGGAAGGAAAAAUCUUUAUAUAUAAAGUUGUCUUUCCUUCUCUCUUAGAGUGUCCGCAUAGGAUGAUAUGUCACUAAUUUGGUUGUCGAGCAUCUGACACGUGUCCGAUUAAUGAAAAGCAGUGUGUCGUCGUUCGGCUUUCGCCCGGGCUUCACAUGGGCUUGCUCUCAGUUUUGCGGCCCAGCGACCACCUAACUAUAAGCAAACCCUAAUCUGUGGUGAUGAACAAAUUUGUGUUCUUCAUUUCACUUCGAUCGGUUUCGAUCGGCGGCGGCCGACGAUCGAUUAUCCACGCUGUUUCAGUAACGGAUCGAUUUAUGGUUUCCCAUUAAUUCAGUUGACCACUACGAGUUCUUCAAUGCGUCGUUACCGUCGGCGAACUCUCUAAUCUCGGUUCGGUAGGUGUUCAUCGGUUGUGGAGGCGAGUCUGCUGCAGUACUGGGAGGCUAGGAACAUCAAGCCUGGUGAAUCUGAAACUAUUAUUUAGCAUUGAGAUCGAUUUCCAGUCAAUUAGCAUUGGUUCUGUAUUUUUGUCCCCUUUUAUAUAUAAGACGGACUGUUAUUUAUUAAUGUAGGUGCUACGAUUGGCAUCAAGUGCCACACUGCAUUUAGGAAGAUAUCAAAAUGGAUCAAAGCUGUCCUUCAUUGAGCUUCAGUUAAUUUAUUUGUUUAUAAUUUCCGUUCUUAUGCUUUUUGCCUUACUGUUGAUUUCUUAUAACCGGAUCUGGAUUGUUUAUGAUUUUGCACAAUCUUCCAACUCUAUGCUAGAAGAUAUUCUCAAAAUUCUUAGUUGGUAAGGAAUCCAACAAUCAAUAUUGUCAAUAUUGUCGUUUUGAUUUCUAUGGGCUCUUCGUAUAUGUAGUUUCAUGAUGUCUUAAAGUAAAUAUUACUUUUUCUGUAUAUGUAAAAAACCAUCUGAUUCUCAUACAUUGCAAAGCCGGAAACGUAAUAUACUCCUUAUUGCUUUUCAUCUCUUGAGAACCAGCAGAAGAAUUUGGAGAAGAAGAUUGUGACCGAGAUCUUACCGGCAAAGAAAUUCCACAAAGCUGAAGAAUACCAUCAGCAUUACCCCUCCAAAGGUGGGAAGAGUGGCCAUGCACAGUCCCCUUCAAAGAGCUGCAAGGACCUUAUCAGCUGCUUUGGCUGAGGAAAAGCUUUUGUUCCUCUUCCACCAAAACAGAGGAUUCUCAGAGAAUAUGUAUCUGUUUGUAUGUGUGUGUGUGUUGAUUUGUAAGUCUCAGUUAGUAAUAAAGAUGCAUGUAUGAUCAUCUCAAGUGUGUGUUCCGAAAAAAAAAGUGUUCCAAAAAAAAAAUGAUCAUCUCAAGUGUGUAACUGAUGUAUGUUGGAAUAAUUAAUAAGUACCAUCAUUAGAACCUAAACCUCUUAUUUACUUA